RNAcentral lists this long non-coding RNA (418 nucleotides) under Homo sapiens (human). RNAcentral's name for it is "non-protein coding lnc-ACSBG2-2:1". The record is from RNAcentral. Lineage: Eukaryota; Metazoa; Chordata; Mammalia; Primates; Hominidae.
AUGGCCGCCCUCAGACCCCUCGUGAAGCCCAAGAUCGUCAAAAAGAGAACCAAGGAGUUCAUCUGGCACCAGUCAGACCAACAUGUCAAAAUUAAGUGUAACUGGAGGAAACCCAGAGGUAUUGACAAUAGGGUUUGCAGAAGGUUCAAGGACCAGAUACGCGCCUGCAAGGGCCAGAUCUUGAUGCCCAACACUGGUCAUGGGAGCAACAAAAAACAAAGCACAUGCUGCCCAGUGGCUUCCGGAAGUUCCUGGUCCCCAGCGUCAAGGAGCUGGAAGUGCUGAUGUGCAACAAAUCUCCCUGUGCUGAGAUCGCUCACAGUGUUUCCUCCAAGAAACAAAACCAUCGUGGAAAGGGCCGCCCAGCUGCCGUCAGAGUCACCAACCCCAAUGCCAGGCUGCGCAGUGAAGAAAAUGA